This 235-nucleotide ribosomal RNA is filed under the name uncultured Staphylococcus sp. RNAcentral describes it as "partial 16S ribosomal RNA". It matches the Rfam family "Bacterial small subunit ribosomal RNA", at positions 128 to 354 of the family's 1533-position model. Lineage: Bacteria; Bacillati; Bacillota; Bacilli; Caryophanales; Staphylococcaceae. The record is from RNAcentral.
ACCUAUAAGACUGGGAUAACUUCGGGAAACCGGAAGCUAAUACCGGAUAAUAUAUUGAACCGCAUGGUUCAAUAGUGAAAGACGGUUUUGCUGUCACUUAUAGAUGGAUCCGCGCCGCAUUAGCUAGUUGGUAAGGUAACGGCUUACCAAGGCAACGAUGCGUAGCCGACCUGAGAGGGUGAUCGGCCACACUGGAACUGAGACACGGUCCAGACUCCUACGGGAGGCAGCAGGC